This is a long non-coding RNA of Acinonyx jubatus (cheetah), 1137 nucleotides long. RefSeq lists it as uncharacterized. The transcript has 2 exons. The record is from RefSeq and is a predicted model, not a curated record. NCBI's taxonomy places the organism in Eukaryota, Metazoa, Chordata, Mammalia, Carnivora, Felidae.
CCUGUUCCGCCAGGCGGGCGUGCGAACCACCCUGCAAACGUGGAGCGAGUGAAUCAUCCCUGAGAAAGGGGGGCUUCCCUCUCCUCUGUCGGAGGCUUUCUCCACGGCAGCCCCGGGCACGCUGCCACGCCGUGGACCCAUCGAGCCCCCGUUUUCAGAACCCAUCUGCCACCUCCCCCGCACCGUGGGAUUCGCCCCACUCGCCAAGUCCGGGUUUCUGCCGGGAAAUGUCACCAACGUGUUUCUCGCUUGGGAAAGGCAUCGGCCGUGAGUUUCCCUCCAGCCAGGAAGUCAGUCCUGCAAGAGAAGGCCCCACUGGGGCUUUUGCUCUAAGACAUUUCAAAAUGCCUGCACCUCGUGGGCUUUGCGGGACAGGGGCCACACGGCCUUGGCCCACGUGGCGACUAACACGUGCUUGGCUGGUGGAGACACGGCGGGUUGCAGUUGCCUCUGACGGGCGAAUGGCUGAGCGGAAAUGAAACCAGCUGUGUAUGGAAUUUAUUACCACGAGACCAGAAAGAGGCCUCACCUUACCAUGUGUUAUGUAUGACCUUUCCUUUUUCAGGCGAUGCAGCCGAAAUCCUAAGGGGUGCACGGUCGCGUCCUGCUGCAAGCGAUGGAACGUAGAAAGAUGUCAGACGGAGUGAGCACACAAGGUCCCUUGACCAAAAGCUAAACCAACGGACAUUCAGUUUUGAAGGGUCACGGGACCUGCCGCUCCAAAAUAUGCCACCGGAGGAUAGCCGUUGUUUCGAGCCGCAGGCGCUUGAACAACAGCAAAGGCAAGGAAAGGCCUUCUCUGAACUCUCAUCUGCCUAAAGACGCAUCCUCCAGGAGCAAGUCAGUUGGCACAAAUUUCUCCCCAGGAAGUUCAUCCCCCAAGGAAGGUGGAGUCUUGUUCCAGGGGAGGACACUGUAGGCGGACCUCACACCCAGGCAAUCUCCAUCCCAAACCACCUUUUCCAGAAAUCAUUUACUCUCCCCUAAGAGGCCUGCCUCCUCCCUCCCCUUUUCCCUGUUAAGGUGGUAUUUAAGCCUAAAUUGUAAGCCGCCUCUCUGAAUUACUCAUUUUCCCUGGGUGUCUCACAUUUAUGUAUGAGGGCUACAUGUUACUGAUAAACUUGUUUUUCUCUUGUU